GGGGGUGCAAGCUUCGACGAAAAUCUUUUUUAAAAACCUGCAAGUCGAGCUGGUUGAAACUCGUAAAACUUCAACCAAACAAAAACUGCCAAAGAAAAAUCAGCAGUUCCAGCUUUUGCAUUUGCUUAAAAGCAGCUUAAGUUGGCAUCGGGCCUUUUUGCUCACGGAAGGAAAAUCCGGUGUUAUAAAGUGAGCUCGCUUGUUUUUUUACCUCAAAAAACAAGUUAAACUAAGAGGUAAUAAUUUUUUGCCUUUUAAGGCUAAACUUGUAGAUGGUUUUUAAAAAACUUUUCGGACGAGGGUUCAAUCCCUCCACCUCCACUU
Molecule: transfer-messenger RNA, 324 nt
Filed under: Candidatus Jorgensenbacteria bacterium
Lineage: Bacteria; Candidatus Joergenseniibacteriota
Rfam family: transfer-messenger RNA
About the family: Bacterial tmRNA, also known as 10Sa RNA or SsrA, is named for its dual tRNA and mRNA-like properties.
Source: RNAcentral